This 501-nucleotide ribosomal RNA is filed under the name uncultured bacterium. RNAcentral's name for it is "partial 16S ribosomal RNA". It matches the Rfam family "Bacterial small subunit ribosomal RNA", at positions 30 to 523 of the family's 1533-position model. The record is from RNAcentral.
AUUGAACGCUGGCGGCAGGCUUAACACAUGCAAGUCGAGCGGAGAUGAGGUGCUUGCACCUUAUCUUAGCGGCGGACGGGUGAGUAAUGCUUAGGAAUCUGCCUAUUAGUGGGGGACAACAUUCCGAAAGGAAUGCUAAUACCGCAUACGUCCUACGGGAGAAAGCAGGGGAUCUUCGGACCUUGCGCUAAUAGAUGAGCCUAAGUCGGAUUAGCUAGUUGGUGGGGUAAAGGCCUACCAAGGCGACGAUCUGUGGCGGGUCUGAGAGGAUGAUCCGCCACACUGGGACUGAGACACGGCCCAGACUCCUACGGGAGGCAGCAGUGGGGAAUAUUGGACAAUGGGGGGAACCCUGAUCUAGCCAUGCCGCGUGUGUGAAGAAGGCCUUAUGGUUGUAAAGCACUUUAAGCGAGGAGGAGGCUACUGAGACUAAUACUCUUGGAUAGUGGACGUUACUCGCAGAAUAAGCACCGGCUAACUCUGUGCCAGCCGCCGCAGUAA